RNAcentral lists this ribosomal RNA (468 nucleotides) under uncultured bacterium. Its description in RNAcentral is "partial 16S ribosomal RNA". It matches the Rfam family "Bacterial small subunit ribosomal RNA", at positions 28 to 507 of the family's 1533-position model. The record is from RNAcentral.
GACGAACGCUGGCGGUGUGCUUAACACAUGCAAGUCGAACGGAAAGGCCCUGCUUUUGUGGGGUGCUCGAGUGGCGAACGGGUGAGUAACACGUGAGUAACCUGCCCUUGACUUUGGGAUAACUUCAGGAAACUGGGGCUAAUACCGGAUAGGAGCUCCUGCUGCAUGGUGGGGGUUGGAAAGUUUCGGCGGUUGGGGAUGGACUCGCGGCUUAUCAGCUUGUUGGUGGGGUAGUGGCUUACCAAGGCUUUGACGGGUAGCCGGCCUGAGAGGGUGACCGGCCACAUUGGAGCUGAGGUACGGCCCGAACUACUACGGGGGGGAGCCGUGGGGAAUAUUUCCCUAUGGGCGGAAUCCUGAAGAAGCAACGCCGCGGCCGGGGUGACGGCCUUCGGGUUGUAAACCGCUUUCGCCUGUGACGAGGCGUGAGUGACGGUAAUGAGUAGAGAAGCUCCGGCUGACUACGUG